Molecule: long non-coding RNA, 781 nt
Filed under: Homo sapiens (human)
Lineage: Eukaryota; Metazoa; Chordata; Mammalia; Primates; Hominidae
Description: HSALNT0378526
Source: RNAcentral
UGCUUUGUUAAACAAGUGCUUGAAGGCAGUAUGCUUGGUAAAAGUCAUCGCCAUUCUCUAAUCUUGAGUACCCAGGGACACGAUACACUGCGGAAGGCUGCAGGGACCUCUGCCCAGGAAAGCCAGGAUCCAGUAUCUGCCGGAGGAGCCCCACCUUCUGCUACUAUUAUGUUCUUCAGAUGAGUAGAAGAGAGUGGGGAGGGAGAGAGCAGGAAGAAGAAAGGAAGAAUAAUGUCUUGAAAUUGAGCUCAGAUGGAAAAGAAUGGUGUUACUGAGACCCUUCAAGAUUCCCAGUGUAAUUCAAUAAAGAAAAGGCAACACAAAGGGGUUGUAUAGAAUUCGCCACAUUAUGGACCCAUGUCAUAGAGAGAAUCCACGGUGCAUUUGUUAGCUGCAUUUAAAUGACAACACUUUCAGAUCCAAGAUUUAUUUGGGAUAAAAAUUUACCUGGAUGCAAGGCUAUUCAGAAUGAAGAUUAAUGAUAUGGUUUGGCUGUGUCCCCACCCAAACUUCAUCUUGAAUUCCCACGUGUUGUGAGAGGGACCUGGUGGGAGAUAAUUGAACCAUGGGGGCAGGUCUUUCUCAUGCUGUUCUCAUGAGAGUGAAUAAGUCUCAUGAAACCUGAUGGUUUUAUAAGGGGGAAUUUCCCUGCACAAGCUCUCUCUCUGCCUUUUGCCAUCCAUGUAAGACGUGACUUGGUCCUCCUUGCCUUCUACCAUGAUUAUGAGGCCUCCCCAGCCACGUGGAACUGUGAGUCCAUUAAACCUCUUUCUUUUGUAAA